GAUGAACGCUAGCGGCAGGCCUAAUACAUGCAAGUCGAGCGGCAAGUCGAGGAGUAAUCUAAGACCUAGAGCGGCGCACGGGUGCGUAACGCGUAUGCAACCUACCUUAUACUGGGGGAUAGCCCGGAGAAAUCUGGAUUAAUACCCCAUGGCACAUAUUGAUGGCAUCUGAGAUAUGUUAAAGAUUUAUUGGUAUAAGAUGGGCAUGCGUCUGAUUAGCUAGUUGGCGGUGUAACGGACCACCAAGGCGACGAUCAGUAGCUGGUCUGAGAGGACGAUCAGCCACACUGGGACUGAGACACGGCCCAGACUCCUACGGGAGCAGCAGUGGGGAAUUUUGGACAAUGGGGGAAACCCUGAUCCAGCCAUGCCGCGUGUGUGAAGAAGG
Molecule: ribosomal RNA, 388 nt
Filed under: uncultured bacterium
Lineage: Bacteria
Description: bacterial SSU rRNA
Rfam family: Bacterial small subunit ribosomal RNA
Source: RNAcentral